GAGAAAGGAAACAAUUUGAAUAGAAAUUACCCCACCAUUACUACUUUAACUGAAUAAAGCCUGGCAAAUCUAUAAUAUUUUUAGUAUAAAAAGUACAACUCUAAAAAGUGGUUUUCACAACUAUAUUUUAUUUUACGCUGAAAUGUGGCACAAAAUUUUAUAUAUGUAACAGACAAAUCAUAACCUAUGCUCGAUUUAUAUUAUACAAUGAGUACAUUACCAAUAGAUUAAACAGUAAAAAUAGUUUAUGCAGGUUACCUCUGAUAGCCCUUUACAAAUUCAAAGACAGUAUAUAAAUGAAUUGUGCUUUUCAAAGAAAAGAAAGUCUCACUGGAUAAGGGUCUUGAUGAUUAAAAGAUCAUACACAAGUAUAAAUUAGAAAUAGAAUGCAAUUACAUUUGCAAGAUUUGAAAUCAGAUAAAGGUUUAUGCUUAUUAUCAUGCUUUACUGAUCAUGACUACCAUGUAUGUUGCAGUCUUUGAGAAAACAACUUAGUUAUUAAUAUAUUGCUACAACACAAACCUAACAUUACCAAUGAGUUCAAGGUUAGAGGGACAUGUACACUUUACAAUCAUUUCAUACAUCAAUAGUUGACUUUGUUUUUAUUAUAUGAGAAACAGAUCCGAUCAAAAACCCUCCACACUUAUUUAUUCACCAUGACAAUGACAUCCAGAUAAUUAUAUAAGUACCAGCAAAACAUGUUUUAACCUUUCAAUCAUUACAUAUACCAUAUAUAGUUGCCCUAUUGCUUAAAGUAUUUGAAAAACGGACCUAACUGUAAAACAACUUGUUGACCAAUAAAACAUGAAAGUGAAGUAAAGGUGAGAUAACCAUGUCAUACAGAUGUGUACAACUUAAAUAUAUUUCAACCUCCAUCAAUAGUUGACAUACUGCCUAUGGUAUCAGAAAACCAGGCUUAAUCCUAAAAGCUAAAUGUUGACCAUUAACUAUGAAAAUUUAGUCAAGGUCAGAUAAACCCUGCGAGAUUGAAAUGUAUAUAUAUCUUACAAAUAUUUCUUACACCCUAGUCGGCUUGAUGCUUAUUAAUAAUGAAAAACUGACUUAACUCACAAACACCAAAAGCUGACCAUAAACCAUGAAAAUGUUUUCAACGUCUAAUAAACCUUGCUUAUGAAUAUGAUAAGAUCCCUAAAUGUGUAAUGAUUCAACUCAUCAAUGAUACCCAGAAUUGAAAUUUUGUAUUUGCCCAAGACAUCUUCAAAAGACUUAAAUGACAUGUGAUAAAUGAUUGAGUAAUGAAUGACAUAUGAUCUAUAAAUGAGUAAUGAAUGACAUGUGAUCUAUGAAUGAGUAAUGAAUGAAAUGUGAUAUAUGAAUGAGUAAUGAAUGAGUAAUGAAUGAGUAAUGAAUGAUAUGUGAUCUUUGAAUGAGUAAUAAAUGACAUGUGACCUAUGAGUAAUGACUGAAAUGUGAUUUAUGAAUGAGUAGUGAAUGAAAUGUGAAAUAUGAAUGAGUAAUGAAUGACAUGUGAUCUAUGAAUGAGUAAUGAAAGACAUGUGAUAUAUAUAUGAGUAAGGAAUGACAUUUGAAUGUUGAUGAGUAAUGAAUGACAUGUGAUCUAUGGAUGAGAAAUAAAUGACAUGUGAACUGUGAUUUAGUUAUGAAUGACAUGUGAUCUAUGAAUGAGGAAUGAAUGAAAUGUGAUCUCUGGAUGAGAGUAAUGAAUGACAUGUGAUCUUGAGAUAACAUGUGAUCUAUGGAUGAGAAAUAAAUGAAAUGUGAUCUCUGGAUGAGAAAUAAAUGACAUGAAAUCUCUGGAUGAUUAUCAUUGACAUUUGAUCUAUGAAUGAGGGAUGAAUGAUAUGUGAUCUAUGAAUGAGUUUAUUGAUGAAUAGUGUAUGACACAUGAUAUAAGGAUGUGUUAUCAAUGAAAUACGAUCAAUUUGCGUUCUGAAUAACUUGUGGUCUGUGAAUGAGUAAUGAUUGACAUGUGAUCUAUGAAUGAUUCAUUGAUGAAAAGUGAAUGUAACAUGAUAUAAAGAUGAAUUAUUAAUGACAUGUGAUCUAUGAAUGAGUAAUGAAUGACAUGUGAUCUAUGGGUGAAAAUGAAUGAGUAAUGAAUGACAUAAUCUAUUGAUGAGUUCUGAAUGACAUGUGAUCUAUGGGUGAAAAUGAAUGAGUAAUGAAUGACAUAAUCUAUUGAUGAGUUCUGAAUGACAUGUGAUCUAUGGGUGAAAUGAAUGAGUAAUGAAUGACAUUUGAUCUAUGGAUGAAAAAUGAAUGAGUAACAAAUGACAGAUGAUCACUGAAUUAAUGAAUGACAUGUGAUAUAUGAAUGACAUAUGAAUUUGGAUGGGUAACAAAUAAAUCAAAUAAUAAAUAAAAUGAUCAAUGUAUGAGUUCUGAAUGACAUGUGAUCUGUGAAUGACUAAUGAAUGAUCUAAGUGAUCUAUGAAUGAGUCAUGAAUGACACAUGAUUUUAAGAUGAAUUAUUAAUGACAUGUAAUCUAUGAAUGAGUUAUGAAUGACAUGUGGUCCUUGAAUGAGUAAACUGAUGGAUAGAAAAUGACACAUUAUCUAAAAAUAAAUUAUUAAUGACACAUGAUGAAUAAGUUAUGAAAGACAUGUGGUCAAUGAUUGAGUUUAUUGAUGAAUAGUGAAUGGCGCAUGAUCUAAAGAUGAAUUAUUAAUGACACAUGAUCUAUGAAUGAGUAAUGAAUGCCAUGUGAUCUUUGAAUGAGUAAUGAAUGACAUAUAGUCUAUAAAUUAGUAAUGAAUGACAUGUGAUCUAUGAAUGAGUAAUUAAUGCCAUGUGAUCUAUGAAUAAUGGAUGACAUGUGAUCUUUGAAUGAGUAAUGAAUGACAUGUUAUCUAUGAAUGAGAAAUGAAUGACAUGUGAUCUAUGAAUGAGUAAUGAAUGACAUGCGAUCUAUGAAUGAUGUGUGAUCUAUGAAUGAGAAAUGAAUGAAAUGUGAUCUAUGAAUGCGUAAUGAAUGACAUGUGGUCAAUAAAUGACUUUAUUGAUGAAUAGUGAAUGACACAUGAUCUAAAGAUGAAUAAUCAUGACAUGAUCUAUGAAUGAGUAGUGAAUGAAAUGUGAUCUAUGAAUGAACUAGAGGCUCUAAAGAGCCUGUGUCGCUCACCUUGGUCUAUGUGAAUAUUAAACAAAGGAAGCAGAUUGAUUCAUGACAAAAUUGUGUUUUGGUGAUGGUGAUGUGUUUGCACAUCUUACUUUACUGAACAUUCUUGCUGCUUACAAUUAUCUCUAUCUAUAAUGAACUUGGCCCAGUAGUUUCAGUGGAAAAUGUUGGUAAAAAUUUACAAAUUUUAUGAAAAUUGUUAAAAAUUGACUAUAAAGGACAAUAACUCCUUAGAGGGUCAGGUCAAUUGACCAUUUUGGUCAUGUUGACUUAAUUUUCGGUCUUACUUUGCUGCUCAUUAUUGCUGUUUACAGUUUAUCUUAAUCUUUAAAAAUAUUCAAGACAAUAACAAUAAAUGGCAAAAUUUCCUUAAAAUUACCAAUUCAGGGGCAGCAACCCAACAACAGGUUGUCUGAUCCAUCUGAAAAUUUCAGGGCAGAUAGAUCUUGACCUUAUAAACAAUUCAUUCCGGUCAGAUUUGCUAUAAAUGCUUUGGUUUUUGAGUUAUAAGCCAAAAACUGCAUUUUACCCCUAUAUUCUAUUUUUAGCCAUGGCAGCCAUCUUGGUUGAAUGGCCGGGUAACCAGACACAUUUUUUUAACUAGAUACCCCAAAGAUGAUUGUGGCUAAGUUUGGAUUCUUUGGCCUAGUAGUUUUAGAGGAGAAGAUUUUUGUAAAAGAUAACUAAGAUUUACGAAAAAUGGUUAAAAAUUGACUAUAAAGGACAAUAACUCCUUAGGGGGUCAAUUGACCAUUUUGGUCAUGGAGACUUAAUUUUAGGUCUAACUUUGCAGUUUACAGUUUAUCUUAAUCUUUAAAAAUAUUCAAGAUAAUAACCAAAAACAGCAAAAAUUCCUUAAAAUUACCAAUUCAGGGGCAGCAACCCAACAACGGGUUGUCCGAUUCAUCUGAAAAUGUCAGGGCAGAUAGAUCUUGACCUGAUAAACAAUGUCGGAUUUGCCCUAAAUGCUUUGGUUUUUUAGUUAUAAGCCAAAAACUGCAUUUUACCCCUAUGUUCUAUUUUUAGCCAUGGCGGCCAUCUUGGUUGGUUGGCCGGGUCACCAGACAUUUUUUAAACUAGAUACCCCAAUAAUGAUUGUGGCCAAGUUUGGUUUAAUUUGGCCCAGUAGUUUCAGAGAAGAUUUUUGUAAAAGAUUACUAAGAUUUACGAAAAAUGGUUAAAAAUGACUAUUAAGGGCAAUAACUCCCAAAGGGAUCAACUGACUAUUUCGAUCAUGUUGACUUAUUUGUAAAUCUUACUUUGCUGAACAUUAUUGCAGUUUACAGUUUAUCUCUAUCUAUAAUAAUAUUCAAAAUAAUAACCAAAAACAGCAAAAAUUCCAUAAAAUUAUCAUUUCAGGGGCAGCAACCCAACAAUGGGCUGUCCGAUUCAUCUGAAAAUUUCAGGGCAGAUAGAUCUUGACCUGAUAAACAAUUUUACCCCUUUCAGAUUUGCUCUAAAUGCUUUGGUUUUUGAGUUAUAAGCCAAAAACUGCAUUUUACCUCUAUGUUCUAUUUUUAGCCAUGGCGGCCAUCUUGGUUGGUUGGCCGGGUCACCAGACACAUUUUUUAAACUAGAUACCCCAAUAAUGAUUGUGGCCAAGUUUGGUUUAAUUUGGCCCAGUAGUUUCAUAGAAGAUUUUUGUAAAAGUUAACAGAUGACGCCGGACGACGACGACAGACGCAAAGUGAUGAGAAAAGCUCACUUGAGCUAAAAAUGAAUGAAAUGUGAUCAAUCAAUGAGUUAUGAAUGACAUGUGGUCAAUAAAUGACUUUAUUGAUGAAAAGUGAAUGACACAUGAUCUUAAGAUGAACUAUUAAUGACACAUGAUGUAAAGAUGAAUUAUUAAUGACAUGUGAUCUAUGAAUGAGAUACCAAUGACAUCUGAUCUUUGGAUGUCAUAUGAUAUGUUAGAUGGGUAGCUGGCAGGUUUUUUCUUUCCUGUCUUUAUCCACUUUGUGUAGAGAGGGGUUAAGAUGGUAUAUAACACUACAGGGAGAUAACUCUGUAUAAAUCAGCUGGACGUUUUAAUGAUGUUCUACUGAUAAGGAAAUAUUUAGCUUCUUAUUGAUCAAAAUUGGUUUUAGUCAAACUAUAUGCCCAAUGAAAAUUUUACGAUAAAGUGUGUAGUUCAAGUUUUUUGAAAUUUUGAAAUUUUUGUCAAAGGGUGAAAGUAAAUAUUUUGUCAAUAUUUUAUGAAAAUUAAACUAUCCAAAUCAAUCUUAGUGGGUGUUGAUUUGAUCCUUACUUAACCUCCCAAUAUCCAUUUAAAUCUAUUCUGUAGUUUUAGAACAAGGAUGACUACAGCUAAUACUGAAAACCAUUCUGAACUUAGUAUAAAACUUCUUAGAAGUAAGCACUUGCUACAGAAGGAGGUAAACAGUGCAAACUAUACAAUGUAUGAACUUAACUUGUACCAUAAUAAAUAUUAUAUUUCCAGUGCUCCUGUCAAUCAUAUACACAAUAUUAUUUGACAUUUAAAAAUAAUAAAACAGUCUUCCAAAAAAAUCCUUAUUACUUCAUAAUACAAAUAUUCCCACAUAUCUAUCACUGUAAUCAAAUGUACCAGUUUUUAUUUUUUUAAAUUACUUUUUUUAAAUUUCUUUGAUAAAAAAAAGUACAUUUUCUAAGACUAAAUCACCUUGUUGGUAUAUAUUCUAGUUUGGGGGACUAAAUUAAUUAUAACAUCAACCAUAUCAAUAUUUAUUGUAUAGCAAUAUAAUAUUUCCCACAGAAAGUAAACAAAAGUUAGCGUGCAAUAAAUUCUAAUAUUGCACUAGUUCAAUAAAUCUUCAAAAUUCAUGACGUCAUCAACGAAAAAAUCUUAGUUUAAACCAAAUUUUACUUUCAAAUAUUAUAUUGCUAUACAAUAAAAGGGUUAUUGCAUGAAUAUUGGGGAAUAAUGUCCCUCGUAGAACAUAUAUUGCACUCUCAAGCUCGUGCAAUAUAAAAUUCUACUCAGGACAAUAGGCCAACUAAAAU
RNAcentral lists this long non-coding RNA (6083 nucleotides) under Mytilus galloprovincialis (Mediterranean mussel). Lineage: Eukaryota; Metazoa; Mollusca; Bivalvia; Mytilida; Mytilidae. The record is from RNAcentral.